Molecule: long non-coding RNA, 677 nt
Filed under: Homo sapiens (human)
Lineage: Eukaryota; Metazoa; Chordata; Mammalia; Primates; Hominidae
Description: HSALNT0031298
Source: RNAcentral
GAGGAAGGAAUUUGUCUCAGUCCACUUCCACACCUGUCCACCUGAGCUGGGCGUUAGCCUGAGCCUUUGCCUCUGUAUGGAUCCCGCAUUAAAUACCCAGCUCCUCUGCGCGAUUACAGCAGCCUCCGGAGCUCUCCCAAAUUGUCACCUAGGAUGAAUAUGACAGCAAACAAUGCUUUAAAAGGACUUUGAGUUUUAUGCAAUUUCUUGUAUAAAAGGAGAGCCUGAGUCCAUGGAAGUUGGGAUUGAACAUCCUGAAUAUGCAGUUCCUUGGAGAGCCACCAAGAAAAGACCUAAGCAAGAGACAUGAUGUCACCUUCGGGGAGGAGGCUCUUCAAGCUGUUUGGCAUGAGAAGAGGAGGAAUGAGGAGGAUCACUGGCCUUGAACCCCCAAAGAGAGGCUAGAGCACCUUUCUAGGACCCAGUCCAGGGUUUGUCUUGAACAUCCAGCUCCAAAAGAGAUGCUGUGCAGAUUCAAGCUGCCAAGUCCUGAAGGACCUGAGGGAAAACCCAACCCCAAGCAGCCCAGAUGGUAUCUGAGUAUCCUGUGCCCUACCCACGAAGAUCAGGAGCCUAAAGGCUAGAGCUCACUGCAGAACCAGACCAAAGACAGUUUAAGGGCCAUUGAGCCAAGCCUUCCUGACCUCCCAUGGAGAGGGGAAGAGAGAACAGGACCU